RNAcentral lists this ribosomal RNA (481 nucleotides) under uncultured bacterium. RNAcentral's name for it is "partial 16S ribosomal RNA". It matches the Rfam family "Bacterial small subunit ribosomal RNA", at positions 38 to 506 of the family's 1533-position model. The record is from RNAcentral.
AGGGAAAGAGGGAGGCAUGCCUUACACAUGCAAGUCGAACGGUAACGGGCCUUCGGGUGCCGACGAGUGGCGAACGGGUGAGUAAUACAUCGGAACGUGCCCGAUCGUGGGGGAUAACGAGGCGAAAGCUUUGCUAAUACCGCAUACGAUCUACGGAUGAAAGCAGGGGACCGCAAGGCCUUGCGCGGACGGAGCGGCCGCUGGCAGCUUAGGUAGUUGGUGGGAUAAAAGCUUACCAAGCCGACGAUCUGUAGCUGGUCUGAGAGGAUGAUCAGCCACACUGGGACUGAGACACGGCCCAGACUCCUACGGGAGGCAGCAGUGGGGAAUUUUGGACAAUGGGCGCAAGCCUGAUCCAGCCAUGCCGCGUGCAGGAUGAAGGCCUUCGGGUUGUAAACUGCUUUUGUACGGAACGAAAAGCCUUCUUUUAAUACAGGAGGGUCAUGACGGUACCGUAAGAAUAAGCACCGGCUAACUACGU